GCUUGGUAGAGGGCUGUGCACACAGGGGUCUGCUCAGCUGUGGAGGGGAGCUUCAUUUCCAAAGGAUUCAUUCAAUACCCCUCUAGUAAACAGGAAGAUGUCUGAUGAUUUUUGCAUCCUUUAACAAGUUUUCAGUGUCUCCUUGUUCCUGACGUUAGAACAAUUUUCGUUGGUGUUCCCUUUGCUGCUAUUAGCUUAAAGCCUUUCUUUCUCGCUCUCCCUGUAAAAAAAUCAGGUUUUGCUGUGUAAAGCACAACUUCAGACUUCCUCUCCUUUAUCUAUAAGGCAAACACGAAGCACUAGGAAGAAUGAGGCUCCUAUUUCCCCACCUGUGAAAGUUUAGUGAACUUGACUGCUGGUGGCUGGCCUGAAAAAGUGAGGGUGUCUGGGUGCGGGUGCAGGGAAAUGAUGGGAUGAGGCCCAUGUGCACGGCAUGAAUGUGAGCGUCUUGCCUGAGGAGCUUAUAAAGGCUUCUCCUGGGGUGGGUGGGUUGCUGAAGGUGUGGGCCUUGCUCAUGAGGGGUGUGGGGGUGUCAGGAGUUGGCUGUGUGUUGCACAUACUGAGGUUAGCUUCUCUGGGGAGUGUUAAUCACAGGAUGGGUUUUAAAACUAUACCUGUGAUGCUGAAAACGCAAACUUAG
RNAcentral lists this long non-coding RNA (640 nucleotides) under Anser brachyrhynchus (Pink-footed goose). RNAcentral's name for it is "lncRNA (ENSABRG00000006705.1)". Lineage: Eukaryota; Metazoa; Chordata; Aves; Anseriformes; Anatidae. The record is from RNAcentral.